AGUCUGACCUGCCCAAUGAUAUAAUUAAAUGGCCGCGAUAUCUUGAUCGUGCAAAGGUAGCAUAAUAAUUAGUUUUUUAAUUGAGAACUGGAAUGAAAGGUCGAACGAGAAAAUAACUGUCUCAGUUUAAAUUUAAAUUAGAAUUUUAUUUUUAGGUAAAAAAGCUUAAAUGAUUUUAAAAGACGAGAAGACCCUAUAGAGUUUAAUAUUAAUAAUUUUUUUUUUAUUUUUAGAAUUUAAUUUUAAAAUUAAUUAGUGAAUAUUUAAUUGGGGUGAUUGAAAAAUUUAAUAAACUUUUUUUAUAUUUUAUCAUUAAUUUAUGAUUAAAUGAUCCAUAUUUUAUGAUUAAAAGAUUAAAUUACCUUAGGGAUAACAGCGUAAUUUUUUUUGAGAGUUCUUAUCGAAAAAAUAGAUUGCGACCUCGAUGUUGGAUUAAAAUUAAUUUAUGGUGUAGGAGCUAUAAAAAUUAGGUCUGUUCGANCUUUAAAAUUUU
This 493-nucleotide ribosomal RNA is filed under the name Onthophagus clypeatus. Its description in RNAcentral is "partial 16S ribosomal RNA". It matches the Rfam family "Bacterial large subunit ribosomal RNA", at positions 1851 to 2597 of the family's 2925-position model. Lineage: Eukaryota; Metazoa; Arthropoda; Insecta; Coleoptera; Scarabaeidae. The record is from RNAcentral.